Non-coding RNA from Podarcis muralis (Common wall lizard), 380 nucleotides. NCBI's taxonomy places the organism in Eukaryota, Metazoa, Chordata, Lepidosauria, Squamata, Lacertidae. The record is from RefSeq and is a predicted model, not a curated record.
ACAUCCCCCAGAUAGGAGUUGGGGGUUGAGAAACUAAUUCAAGAUGCUGGAAAUGCACCCGAUGGAGGGAAUACUUAAGGGUGCAGGUGUGAGCCCUGCAGAGGUGUUGAACAGCCGCCCCCUGGUGUUGGACUUGGGCACUGACGGCACUCUUCCCCCAGUCUGCGGGAUGAUGGGUUCUUGAAGACUCUCACAUCAGGAAACAACAUCAGGAAGCUCUACGUCAGAUGCAGCGACGAACACCCUUGUCUGUAAAGCACCUCUCUGCGAAACCUUUCCAGUUCCAUGCUUUGGGCAUCUGGCAGUGCCUCCAUGUAGUCCCCGAUGAAGCUGAUGCCAUAGCCUUUGGUGUUGUAGCUCCGUGUGUGCGCUCCUACCCA